GCUGGAUCAUAAAUAAGCCCUAGGGUUUAUCUAUAUAAUGGUGUAAACCCGAUGAAGCAGCAUCUUCCACCACCUUUAGCUUUUUCGCGCGACCGUAAGCUUUUCGUCAUCACAUCACCAUGAGAGCCAAGUGGAAGAAGAAGCGUAUGAGAAGAUUGAAGCGAAAGCGCCGAAAGAUGAGGCAGAGAUCCAAGUAGACAGUGAAAUCUGUGGGUUCUGUUUUAGUUUUUGGUUUACUUUCUUAUUUCGAUCUCUUGAAUCGGUGUUAAUCCAGCAGUGGAUGGUUUUUAGAUUUUUAAAUUGUUGAGAACAGUUUACUGAUUUCUAUAGAAUGGGUAUUUUUUCAA
Gossypium raimondii (Peruvian cotton) is the source of this 347-nucleotide long non-coding RNA. RefSeq lists it as uncharacterized. The transcript has 2 exons. The record is from RefSeq and is a predicted model, not a curated record. NCBI's taxonomy places the organism in Eukaryota, Viridiplantae, Streptophyta, Magnoliopsida, Malvales, Malvaceae.